GAACUUAGGUCAAUGUUAAACCAGAGGCCUUCAAAGCCCCAAAUAAGGGUUUAAAUCCCUUAGUUCUUG
Molecule: transfer RNA, 69 nt
Filed under: Dibamus novaeguineae
Lineage: Eukaryota; Metazoa; Chordata; Lepidosauria; Squamata; Dibamidae
Description: tRNA-Trp
Rfam family: tRNA
About the family: Transfer RNA (tRNA) molecules are approximately 80 nucleotides in length.
Source: RNAcentral